GCAGUCGAACGAGACCUUCGGGUCUAGUGGCGCACGGGUGCGUAACGCGUGGGAAUCUGCCCUUGGGUCCGGAAUAACAGUUAGAAAUGACCGCUAAUACCGGAUGAUGACUUCGGUCCAAAGAUUUAUCGCCCAGGGAUGAGCCCGCGUAGGAUUAGCUAGUUGGUGAGGUAAAGGCUCACCAAGGCGACGAUCCUUAGCUGGUCUGAGAGGAUGAUCAGCCACACUGGGACUGAGACACGGCCCAGACUCCUACGGGAGGCAGCAGUGGGGAAUAUUGGACAAUGGGCGAAAGCCUGAUCCAGCAAUGCCGCGUGAGUGAUGAAGGCCUUAGGGUUGUAAAGCUCUUUUACCCGGGAAGAUAAUGACUGUACCGGGAGAAUAAGCCCCGGCUAACUCCGUGCCAGCAGCCGCGGUAAUACGGAGGGGGCUAGCGUUGUUCGGAAUUACUGGGCGUAAAGCGCACGUAGGCGGCUUUGUAAGUUAGAGGUGAAAGCCCGGAGCUCAACUCCGGAAUUGCCUUUAAGACUGCAUCGCUAGAAUUGUGGAGAGGUGAGUGGAAUUCCGAGUGUAGAGGUGAAAUUCGUAGAU
Molecule: ribosomal RNA, 591 nt
Filed under: uncultured bacterium
Lineage: Bacteria
Description: bacterial SSU rRNA
Rfam family: Bacterial small subunit ribosomal RNA
Source: RNAcentral